GACGAACGCUGGCGGCGUGCCUAAUACAUGCAAGUCGAGCGGGCCUCCGGAGGUGCUUGCACCUCCGGAAGGCCAGCGGCGGACGGGUGAGUAACACGUGGGCAACCUGCCUUUGAGGCCGGGAUAACACCGGGAAACCGGUGCUAAUACCGGAUACGUCCUCUUUCGCGCCUGCGAGAGGGGAGAAAGACGGUCUUUAAGGCCGUCGCUCAAAGAGGGGCCCGCGGCGCAUUAGCUUGUUGGUGGGGUAAGGGCCUACCAAGGCGACGAUGCGUUGCCGACCUGAGAGGGUGAUCGGGCACACUGGGACUGAGACACGGCCCAGACUCCUGCGGGAGGCAGCAGUAGGGAAUCAUCCGCAAUGGGCGAAAGCCUGACGGUGCAACGCCGCGUGAGUGAGGAAGGUUUUCGGAUCGUAAAGCUCUGUUGUGAGGGAAGAACAGCUUCCGGAGGAAAUGCCGGAGGUUUGCCGGUACCUCACCAGAAAGCCCCGGCUAACUACGUGCCAGCCGCCGCGGUAA
This 521-nucleotide ribosomal RNA is filed under the name uncultured bacterium. Its description in RNAcentral is "partial 16S ribosomal RNA". It matches the Rfam family "Bacterial small subunit ribosomal RNA", at positions 28 to 523 of the family's 1533-position model. The record is from RNAcentral.